CAGGUAUAUGCUAUCAUGCCUGACCAUCUUAAUCUUUCUUUUAAUUUGGCAUUUUGCUUUCACCUAGGAUCUCCAUUAAAGAAACAAAAAUCCUACUUCUCAGAUCUUCAUUGUAAUGGGACCACCAUUGUCACUGACAACUUUCACCAUGCUUUUAUACAUCUUUUUUAUUCAUUUCCUAAGUAUUAUUAUUUUGUAUGUGAGGAUUGUGCUAAAGAUUUGAGUUGUUCUUAUACUGGCCAUGAAUUUGUACUUUACUUGUCUAUAUAAUCCCUCUGGAGGAAAGUCAUGAAAAAGCUGGCUAAAGCUGUAUGUUUGGCUCCUGAUCUUGUAGCAAAGCUUCUAGAUUCAGAUGUUCUUGUAAAGAUACAUGUAGCUCCUUCAGUUUUCUUGCUGACAACUAUGUAUAUACUUUUUUCUUGGAUAAACUCUUAACUUUUGUUAGUCUCUUGAUUUGUCCUUUUCCUCUGUGUCUUUUGAUUGUUUUCUGGCUGCCUCUUUCUAUUUGGAUUCAUUCAGCUAUUGUGCAAAUCCUUCUGGUUCUUUUUUUCCUUUCCUUCAGAAAUCUCAUCAUUUUUGAUUGGCAUCAUCUACCUUUAAGAUGCUUCUAAGUCUACUGCCUUUACUUUAAAUUUAUUUUCUAUUCUACAGAGAG
Molecule: long non-coding RNA, 655 nt
Filed under: Marmota monax (woodchuck)
Lineage: Eukaryota; Metazoa; Chordata; Mammalia; Rodentia; Sciuridae
Source: RNAcentral